RNAcentral lists this ribosomal RNA (558 nucleotides) under Escherichia coli. RNAcentral's name for it is "bacterial SSU rRNA". It matches the Rfam family "Bacterial small subunit ribosomal RNA", at positions 1 to 548 of the family's 1533-position model. The record is from RNAcentral. Lineage: Bacteria; Pseudomonadati; Pseudomonadota; Gammaproteobacteria; Enterobacterales; Enterobacteriaceae.
AAAUUGAAGAGUUUGAUCAUGGCUCAGAUUGAACGCUGGCGGCAGGCCUAACACAUGCAAGUCGAACGGUAACAGGAAACAGCUUGCUGUUUCGCUGACGAGUGGCGGACGGGUGAGUAAUGUCUGGGAAACUGCCUGAUGGAGGGGGAUAACUACUGGAAACGGUAGCUAAUACCGCAUAACGUCGCAAGACUAAAGAGGGGGACCUUCGGGCCUCUUGCCAUCGGAUGUGCCCAGAUGGGAUUAGCUUGUUGGUGGGGUAACGGCUCACCAAGGCGACGAUCCCUAGCUGGUCUGAGAGGAUGACCAGCCACACUGGAACUGAGACACGGUCCAGACUCCUACGGGAGGCAGCAGUGGGGAAUAUUGCACAAUGGGCGCAAGCCUGAUGCAGCCAUGCCGCGUGUAUGAAGAAGGCCUUCGGGUUGUAAAGUACUUUCAGCGGGGAGGAAGGGAGUAAAGUUAAUACCUUUGCUCAUUGACGUUACCCGCAGAAGAAGCACCGGCUAACUCCGUGCCAGCAGCCGCGGUAAUACGGAGGGUGCAAGCGUUAAUCGG